RNAcentral lists this ribosomal RNA (297 nucleotides) under Salmonella enterica subsp. enterica serovar Virchow. RNAcentral's name for it is "partial 23S ribosomal RNA". It matches the Rfam family "Bacterial large subunit ribosomal RNA", at positions 895 to 1190 of the family's 2925-position model. The record is from RNAcentral. Lineage: Bacteria; Pseudomonadati; Pseudomonadota; Gammaproteobacteria; Enterobacterales; Enterobacteriaceae. RNAcentral also lists the same sequence under 3 other names.
UCCGGGGGUAGAGCACUGUUUCGGCUAGGGGGCCAUCCCGGCUUACCAACCCGAUGCAAACUGCGAAUACCGGAGAAUGUUAUCACGGGAGACACACGGCGGGUGCUAACGUCCGUCGUGAAGAGGGAAACAACCCAGACCGCCAGCUAAGGUCCCAAAGUCAUGGUUAAGUGGGAAACGAUGUGGGAAGGCCCAGACAGCCAGGAUGUUGGCUUAGAAGCAGCCAUCAUUUAAAGAAAGCGUAAUAGCUCACUGGUCGAGUCGGCCUGCGCGGAAGAUGUAACGGGGCUAAACCAU